This 439-nucleotide ribosomal RNA is filed under the name uncultured bacterium. Its description in RNAcentral is "partial 16S ribosomal RNA". It matches the Rfam family "Bacterial small subunit ribosomal RNA", at positions 338 to 795 of the family's 1533-position model. The record is from RNAcentral.
CCUACGGGAGGCAGCAGUGGGAAAUAUUGCACAAUGGGCGAAAGCCUGAUGCAGCAACGCCGCGUGAGCGAUGAAGGCCUUCGGGUCGUAAAGCUCUGUCCUCAAGGAAGAUAAUGACGGUACUUGAGGAGGAAGCCACGGCUAACUACGUGCCAGCAGCCGCGGUAAUACGUAGGGGGCCAGCGUUAUCCGGAAUUACUGGGCGUAAAGGGUGCGUAGGUGGUUUCUUAGGUCGGUGGUGAAAGGCUACGGCUAAACCGUAGUAAGCCUAUGAAACUGGGAAGCUUGAGUGCAGGAGAGGAGAGUGGAAUUCCUAGUGUAGCGGUGAAAUGCGUAGAUAUUAGGAGGAACACCGGUUGCGAAGGCGGCUCUCUGGACUGUAACUGACGCUGAGGCACGAAAGCGUGGGGAGCAAACAGGAUUAGAUACCCGUGUAGUC